This 345-nucleotide ribosomal RNA is filed under the name uncultured bacterium. Its description in RNAcentral is "partial 16S ribosomal RNA". The record is from RNAcentral.
AGCGACUGUGCAGGUUACCGCGGCUGCUGGCACGGAGUUAGCCGGUGCUUCUUCUGUGAGUGAUGUCCUUCCUGCCGGCUAUUAACCCGCAGGCCUUCUUCCUCACUGAAAGUGCUUUACAACCCGAAGGCCUUCUUCACACACGCGGCAUGGCUGGAUCAGGGUUGCCCCCGAUUGUCCAAUAUUCCCCGACUGCUGCCUCCCGUAGGAGUCUGGGCCGUGUCUCAGUCCCAGUGUGGCUGAUCAUCCUCUCAGACCAGCUACGGAUCGUCGCCUUGGUGAGCCGUUACCUCACCAACCAGCUAAUCCGACAUAGGCUCAUCCGAUAGCGCGAGGCCCGAAGGU